RNAcentral lists this transfer RNA (63 nucleotides) under Ictidomys tridecemlineatus (thirteen-lined ground squirrel). RNAcentral describes it as "Spermophilus tridecemlineatus (thirteen-lined ground squirrel) tRNA". It matches the Rfam family "tRNA", at positions 5 to 66 of the family's 71-position model. From Rfam's summary of the family: Transfer RNA (tRNA) molecules are approximately 80 nucleotides in length. Their secondary structure includes four short double-helical elements and three loops (D, anti-codon, and T loops). The record is from Rfam by way of RNAcentral. Lineage: Eukaryota; Metazoa; Chordata; Mammalia; Rodentia; Sciuridae.
GUGUGGCUCAGCGGUAGAGCACUCACCUAGCAUGUGUGAGGCCCUGGGUUCAAUCCUCAGCAC